This 343-nucleotide unclassified non-coding RNA is filed under the name soil metagenome. RNAcentral describes it as "partial contains 5.8S ribosomal RNA, internal transcribed spacer 2, and large subunit ribosomal RNA". The stretch from base 1 to 120 matches the Rfam family "5.8S ribosomal RNA", at positions 35 to 154 of the family's 154-position model. The record is from RNAcentral.
GAUGAAGAACGUAGUGAAAUGCGAUAAGUAAUGUGAAUUGCAGAAUUCAGUGAAUCAUCGAAUCUUUGAACGCACAUUGCGCCCGCCAGUAUUCUGGCGGGCAUGCCUGUUCGAGCGUCAUUUCAACCCUCAGGACCCUUUGGACCUGGUGUUGGGGCUCGGCCGCUACCCCGCGGCCGUCCCCGAAAGAUAGUGGCGGUCUCGCUGUAGCGUCCUCUGCGUAGUAAUUACACCUCGCACUGGAACGCGGCGCGGCCACGCCGUUAAACACCCCACUUCUCAAGGUUGACCUCGGAUCAGGUAGGAAUACCCGCUGAACUUAAGCAUAUCAAUAAGCGGAGGA